UAGUGGCGAACGGGUGAGUAACACGUGGGCAAUCUGCCCUUCACUCUGGGACAAGCCCUGGAAACGGGGUCUAAUACCGGAUAACACUCCUCAGGGCAUCUUGAGGGGUUAAAAGCUCCGGCGGUGAAGGAUGAGCCCGCGGCCUAUCAGCUUGUUGGUGGGGUGAUGGCCUACCAAGGCGACGACGGGUAGCCGGCCUGAGAGGGCGACCGGCCACACUGGGACUGAGACACGGCCCAGACUCCUACGGGAGGCAGCAGUGGGGAAUAUUGCACAAUGGGCGAAAGCCUGAUGCAGCGACGCCGCGUGAGGGAUGACGGCCUUCGGGUUGUAAACCUCUUUCAGCAGGGAAGAAGCGAAAGUGACGGUACCUGCAGAAGAAGCGCCGGCUAACUACGUGCCAGCAGCCGCGGUAAUACGUAGGGCGCAAGCGUUGUCCGGAAUUAUUGGGCGUAAAGAGCUCGUAGGCGGCUUGUCACGUCGGAUGUGAAAACCCCGGGGCUUAACCCCCGGGUCUGCAUUCGAUACGGNCUAGCUAGAGUGUGGUAGGGGAGAUCGGAAUUCCU
RNAcentral lists this ribosomal RNA (566 nucleotides) under Streptomyces sp. 337A08. RNAcentral describes it as "bacterial SSU rRNA". It matches the Rfam family "Bacterial small subunit ribosomal RNA", at positions 93 to 671 of the family's 1533-position model. Lineage: Bacteria; Bacillati; Actinomycetota; Actinomycetes; Kitasatosporales; Streptomycetaceae. The record is from RNAcentral.